UGAGUGCGCCCCACGUGCCCUCCCAGCAACCCUACUCACCCGCAGCCAGCUGCAUCCAGGCGCAAAUCUUGUAGACCGUGGCUGUGUUACAGACGAAGAACAGGCUGAAGCAGAUAAUGGAGCCGAUGAUGAGGAACAUUGCCAAGGCCACGAAGAACAUGGCGGUCUUGAAGGCUCUGGAGGGGAUAGAGGAGAAGUCCAGAGGUCCGCCCUUGCAGAUGAGUUCCGACGACAGCACAUUGCCCACACAGUACGAGAACAAGCCAAAAUAGCCAGCCUGUGGCGUGCUCACACUGUCGCCUAUCCAGUAGGGCUGGAUAAAGAGGGCCAUGACCAGCACCGAGAAACAGAUGGUGAGUGUGCCCCACAUCACCCCCACGGCGCGCGAGUUUCGCACAUAGUUGGUGUGGUAGAUCUUGGCGGCCUCCUGGGCUGGCAGCAACUUCACCAUGGCGAAGGCGGCUGGGCUAGGUCGGAGGCGCUGGC
Molecule: long non-coding RNA, 486 nt
Filed under: Rattus norvegicus (Norway rat)
Lineage: Eukaryota; Metazoa; Chordata; Mammalia; Rodentia; Muridae
Description: long non-coding RNA NONRATT017597
Source: RNAcentral